AUUGAACGCUGGCGGCAUGCCUUACACAUGCAAGUCGAACGGCAGCACGGGAGCAAUCCUGGUGGCGAGUGGCGAACGGGUGAGUAAUAUAUCGGAACGUGCCCGGUCGUGGGGAUAACGUAGCGAAAGCUACGCUAAUACCGCAUACGAUCUACGGAUGAAAGCGGGGGAUCGCAAGACCUCGCGCGAUUGGAGCGGCCGAUAUCAGAUUAGGUAGUUGGUGAGGUAAAGGGCUCACCAAGCCGACGAUCUGUAGCUGGUCUGAGAGGACGACCAGCCACACUGGGACUGAGACACGGCCCAGACUCCUACGGAGGCAGCA
RNAcentral lists this ribosomal RNA (322 nucleotides) under uncultured bacterium. Its description in RNAcentral is "bacterial SSU rRNA". It matches the Rfam family "Bacterial small subunit ribosomal RNA", at positions 30 to 353 of the family's 1533-position model. The record is from RNAcentral.